Molecule: ribosomal RNA, 468 nt
Filed under: uncultured bacterium
Lineage: Bacteria
Description: partial 16S ribosomal RNA
Rfam family: Bacterial small subunit ribosomal RNA
Source: RNAcentral
GACGAACGCUGGCGGCGUGCUUAACACAUGCAAGUCGAACGGAAAGGCCCUGCUUUUGUGGGGUGCUCGAGUGGCGAACGGGGGAGUAACACGUGAGUAACCUGCCCUUGACUUUGGGAUAACUUCAGGAAACUGGGGCUAAUACCGGAUAGGAGCUCCUGCUGCAUGGUGGGGGGUGGAAAGUUUCGGCGGGUGGGGAUGGACUCGCGGCUUAUCAGCUUGUUGGUGGGGUAGUGGCUUACCAAGGCUUUGACGGGUAGCCGGCCUGAGAGGGUGACCGGCGACAAUGGGACUGAGAUACGGCGCAGACUCCUACGGGAGGCAGCAGUGGGGAAUAUUGCACAAUGGGCGGAAGCCUGAUGCAGCAGCGCCGCGUGCGGGAUGACGGCCUUCGGGUUGUAAACCGCUGUCGCCUGUGACGAAGCGUGAGUGACGGUAAUGGGUAAAGAAGCACCGGCUAACUACGUG